CCUGCCCAGAAGCGGGGGAUAACACCUGGAACCAGAUGCUAAUACCGCAUAACAACUUGGACCGCAUGGUCCGAGCUUGAAAGAUGGCUUCGGCUAUCACUUUUGGAUGGUCCCGCGGCGUAUUAGCUAGAUGGUGGGGUAACGGCUCACCAUGGCAAUGAUACGUAGCCGACCUGAGAGGGUAAUCGGCCACAUUGGGACUGAGACACGGCCCAAACUCCUACGGGAGGCAGCAGUAGGGAAUCUUCCACAAUGGACGAAAGUCUGAUGGAGCAACGCCGCGUGAGUGAAGAAGGGUUUCGGCUUGUAAAACUCUGUUGUUAAAGAAGAACAUAUCUGAGAGUAACUGUUCAGGUAUUGACGGUAUUUAACCAGAAAGCCACGGCUAACUACGUGCCAGCAGCCGCGGUAAUACGUAGGUGGCAAGCGUUGUCCGGAUUUAUUGGGCGUAAAGCGAGCGCAGGCGGUUUUUUAAGUCUGAUGUGAAAGCCUUCGGCUCAACCGAAGAAGUGCAUCGGAAACUGGGAAACUUGAGUGCAGAAGAGGACAGUGGAACUCCAUGUGUAGCGGUGAAAUGCGUAGAUAUAUGGAAGAACACC
RNAcentral lists this ribosomal RNA (599 nucleotides) under uncultured bacterium. Its description in RNAcentral is "bacterial SSU rRNA". It matches the Rfam family "Bacterial small subunit ribosomal RNA", at positions 125 to 710 of the family's 1533-position model. The record is from RNAcentral.